UUAUAACUUUGUAUUCAAGUAUCAUCUCGUCCAAAUGAGAUGGUCUAGAAUUAAAAACGCUCGUAAACACUGAACAUCAAUCAUUUACGCUAGACCCAAAUAGUUAACAAAAAGCAUGGAAUUCAUGGACAGUGACAGGAUUAAUCCAUGAUGAAGAAACAUUGGCAGUCCAAGUCAGAAUAAGCAAUAAGCAUACAAUUUCAUCAUAAGCCAACAAGAAAAAACCUUCAGCUGAAAGUGCAAAGAUAAGCUAAUGAAAUCAGAAAUUAUAACAUUUAAUUAAAAACUACACCGACCAUCAAAAAGGUCCUUCUCAUCUUACAGAAGCAAACAUAGAAUUCUUAUUCAACAUAAAAUUGGCCUACAAAUGUACAACACGUGGUUCUUUCUUAGCCAUAUCAUAGCAUCAUUGAUUGUGUUUGUGUUUGAAAAUUGAAUUCAAUUGACAAAUUAUAUUAUGCACAUUAUAUAUUUGAAAAAUGAGAACAAAAAAUGCAAUGAAAUUGGCUAAGUGGGCGGCAAUAGCAGCAUACAUACAUGUCAAUUCCGAAUGCCU
This 556-nucleotide long non-coding RNA is filed under the name Medicago truncatula (barrel medic). Its description in RNAcentral is "long non-coding RNA (MTRU_LNC008886)". Lineage: Eukaryota; Viridiplantae; Streptophyta; Magnoliopsida; Fabales; Fabaceae. The record is from RNAcentral.